This 254-nucleotide ribosomal RNA is filed under the name uncultured archaeon. RNAcentral describes it as "partial 16S ribosomal RNA". It matches the Rfam family "Archaeal small subunit ribosomal RNA", at positions 728 to 982 of the family's 1478-position model. The record is from RNAcentral.
AUUAGACUACCCUGUACGUCCAGCCGUAAACAAUGUGCGUUAGGUGUGUCGGUAACCACGCGUUACUGAUGCGCCGAAGAGAAAUCGUGAAACGCACCACCUGGGAAGUACGGUCGCAAGGCUGAAACUUAAAGGAAUUGGCGGGGAGCGCCACAACAGGUGGAGCCUGCGGUUUAAUUGGAUUCAACGCCGGACAUCUCACCGGAUAAGACAGCUGAAUGAUUGUCAAUCUGAAGGUUUUACAUGACUAGCUG